Molecule: long non-coding RNA, 1009 nt
Filed under: Helianthus annuus (common sunflower)
Lineage: Eukaryota; Viridiplantae; Streptophyta; Magnoliopsida; Asterales; Asteraceae
Description: sRNA HanXRQr2_Chr17g0804601
Source: RNAcentral
GACCACACCCACACCGGUAAACCCCCCCCUCUCCUUUCUCCUCCGAUCUACACCCCCCCCCAUCCUCCUUUCUGAUUCGAAAACGGACCACCACCACUGUCUGGUGGUGGUGUGCGGCGGCUAUCAAGCAGAGAGAGAGAGAAACCGAGAGAGAGAAAGAGACUGAAAGAGGGAGAGAGAGCGCCGGAGAUAGGAGCGGCGGCGGCGGUGGAUCGAGCGACGGCAGCGGCAAUGGUGAUCGGCGAUUGCAUCUCGGACCGGUGGUCCUUGUUUUUAACCGGCGGUCCCUGGCUCGAUUCAGGUGGUCCAGGCUCGAGUUCAAGUGACUCGGUUCAGAAUGAUUCAAGUAUGGUUCGGGUUAGCUCCGGGCCGGCCGAUGGUGUGGUGGUUCGGUGGAGACACAGAUGCCGACAUUGAAAAUGAGUAUGUUCAGAUUAAGUAAGCUCAACAUCAAUUUCUUUAGUUCAUUUCAGUUUUUAAUACGGGUUGUUUACUUCUUGUUUCGGGUCAAACCCGGUUGACUCGGUCAACUCGGGUCAACGACAGGUCAACAGGUCAACAACUCGGUCAACCGCAGUCAACAGUAGCUUCGGCUCGGGUCCGACACGGUCAGAUUCGGUUUUGGUAUGGUUCGGAUCAACUCGGUCAAACCGAGUUGACUCGGUCAACUCGGGUCAACUCAGCGAGUGAACUCAGCCGGUCAACCCGGUUGACUCGGAAAGUCAGCUGGUCAACUCACAACGAAAACAGCGCGAAAGUGUUGGAAUAUUGUAGGAUGCACGCUAGCGAGUCUCAUCUUGGAAGCGACAUCACAAAGUCGCAUUUAGCUAGCUUUGCACAGGAAUAUUCAGGCGAGUUGCAUUUCUAAGACAAAGCACGGUUGGAAUAGGAGGACCAUGAAGAGUCGAGUACUUAGUGGGCGUUCAGUUUUUAGAAAGACUUAGAUUAUUUGCUUCCGCUGUGCAAUGAAGAUACCAGUCCAGUCACGCCAAUGCUCUGAUAAUUUCGG